Molecule: ribosomal RNA, 253 nt
Filed under: uncultured bacterium
Lineage: Bacteria
Description: partial 16S ribosomal RNA
Rfam family: Bacterial small subunit ribosomal RNA
Source: RNAcentral
CACGGAGGGGGCAAGCGCUAUUCGGAAUCACUGGGCGUAAAGAGCGCGUAGGCGGUCUCUUAAGUCAGAUGUGAAAGCCCGGGGCUCAACCCCGGAAGUGCAUUUGAAACUAAGUGACUUGAGUAUGGGAGAGGGAAGUGGAAUUCCUGGUGUAGCGGUGAAAUGCGUAGAUAUCAGGAGGAACACCGGUGGCGAUGGCGACUUCCUGGACCAAUACUGACGCUGAGGCGCGAAGGCGUGGGGAGCAAACAGG